Molecule: unclassified non-coding RNA, 2176 nt
Filed under: Anneissia japonica
Lineage: Eukaryota; Metazoa; Echinodermata; Crinoidea; Comatulida; Comatulidae
Description: iron-sulfur protein NUBPL-like, transcript variant X2
Source: RNAcentral
ACAUGUGCUCGCUCUCCGCUCUCUCGUAAACAAUAACAUUAAAUAAUCAUGUUAAAUUUAAAUGUAUUCGGAAUUGCUAGUAGUAUAACUAAUAGAUGUGUAAAGUCAUUGACGUGCUCGGGUAUUUAUUGUAUUAGGAACUUGUCAUCACAUGAUAAUCCUCUGGGAAUUCAUAGCACUGAUAAAAGAAGGGCAACGCCCCUGAAAGAGAAGGGCUUACCAAAGAAAUGGCCAAUUCCUGGAGUCAAGCAAAUUAUCUUAGUAGCUUCUGGGAAAGGCGGAGUUGGUAAAUCAACAACUGCUGUCAAUCUUGCUCUUGGUAUUGCUGCAAAUAACAAGGCUUUGUCUGUAGGUCUGUUGGAUGCUGACAUUUACGGUCCAUCAAUUCCUAGAAUGAUGAAUUUAAGUGGUCAGCAGCCUGAGUUAACACACAAAAAUCUGAUGAAACCAGUGACUAACUUUGGAAUAUCUUGUAUGUCAAUGGGAUUCUUAGUGGAUGAGACAUCACCUAUUGUGUGGCGAGGUCUAAUGGUGAUGUCUGCUGUUGAAAAGCUCAUCAGGCAGGUGUCAUGGGGACCAUUGGAUUAUUUAGUUGUGGACAUGCCACCUGGUACAGGUGAUACUCAGCUGUCAAUAUCACAGCUCAUACCUGUCGAUGGUUCAGUGAUUGUGAGCACCCCACAAGAUAUUGCUUUAAUGGAUGCCAGACGAGGAGCAGAAAUGUUCAAGAAAGUCAAUAUACCAGUACUAGGUCUAGUGCAGAACAUGAGUGUAUUCAACUGUCCCAAGUGUGGGCACAACACUCAUAUAUUUGGAGAAGAUGGGGUUAAGAAUGUAGCGGAUGAGUUGGGAAUAGAUAUACUAGUUGAUAUUCCUCUACAUCUAAACAUAAGACAGAUGUCAGAUGAUGGAACACCUAUUGUUGUGUCCGACCCUGAAAGUGACCAGGCCAAAGCAUAUAAGGAUCUGGCCAGAGAAGUGGUCAAGAGGCUACCAGAGUACACUGACCCUUUUCCGAAGAGGUGACAGUAACUCAGAAAAUUUAUUCAAGAUCACUGGAAAUUUGAAAUAGAAUCAUUUUAUAAGUUUUUCAGAAAAUUGAAAAAAAAAAUUACGUAAACCUUACCGAACAACACAACGAUGAAGAAAGAAUUGAUGGCCAUGUUAAUGACACUGAUAGCUAUGGGUUUUACAGAUAUGAGAAUAUAUAUGAGCUAUGUGCCACUUCCAGCGUGGCCAAUAAUGGCAAAUUACUUAAUUUGCUGCAUUUUUCAAAUCUUUGGUAAUGAUGAACAAGAUCGUAUCAUUAUGGAAGAAAGUAUUGACGAGAUUACGGAGAUGAUGAAGAAUCUCAAUACCUAAGAAGGGAACCAUAGAAACAAACAAGAUCUGUGUGGAUUUUAAUUAAUUUUAAAAAAAUCUAACUUUCAUAAAUGUUUUUAGGUUGGAUUGUAUGAAUCCUACUGAAACAAACGCAUAAAAGUUGGGUUCUAUUAAGUGAGACUUUUCAAUACCUUGUUUAGCAAACUUAUUUUCUUUAAAGAUAUCAGAUCAAGGCUGAAAAAAAGUUUUUGUGUUCACAUAUUUAGCAAAAUGGUUUUGCCCAAAGCCCCAAAUAAAAUACUGUACCAUUGUUGAAAGUACAAAAUGGGAUUUAGAAUUAUAGAUUAUAAAUUUUUAAAAACAUCCCUUUUUUGGUGGCAGUCGGUGUGCUAACUGACCAAAAAUAAAAUGGUAUCUUUAUUUUAAAUCACAUUCAUGAAAGAUGGUAUAAAAAGUCUCGUCUUGGUUACCUGUAAAUAGAUAUACAUAUUCUUUCAUUUUUAAAGUUUCAUUUGAAGUGGUGGUAGGAUUCAGGCAAGUAAUCAUUAUAUAAUAUAUAUACCUGUGUGUGUAUAUAUACUGUAUAUAUAUAUGAUUACUUUAAUAAUCCCACCAAAAAUGUACUUAUCAUGAAGUAAUUUACGUUAGUCAACAUAAUUAAAAUUAUCCUUUGCAAUCCUGUUAUUGGAUUCGCCGCUUUUUACUUUUGGAACUUUGAAUUGGAGUCAAUCGUUUUUUCUCGUUUGCAUUUAUUUGAACAUUAUUAUUUUAUAUUGGACAGUUUAAAUUCGCCUUAUUAUCCCUAUUUGUAAUCCCACUUUUUAUAAUAAAAAUUAAGUAAUAUUUAGGCUUA